GUCCCAUCUGCCCCUUUCUGGGCUUAGCAAAGUCAGGGCUGCUGACCCCAUCCCUCCUAGGGAGCCAAUUGAUGGCGCAGAGCACAAGGUAGCCAGGAGACAAAAGGUUCUGGAAGGAAGGCCAAGGACACUGGCAUGGAGCAGGCUGGCAGUGCCCUCAGCUGCUGGAGGAGUGAGAGCCCAGACUGCCUGUGUGGCCGUCAUGAGGGUCUUCACAAGCUGACCAGGACCCUUCAGCAGGUCCAAACUUGUAUGAAGCUACACAAGCAGCCACUCCUGCUGCCCCCAGGAGGAUACUACCCCCAGGUUGAGAACAAAGCCUUCAAAAACAGGAACUGCAUCUUCUCCCUCUUCAUAUUUCUCUGCAGAACUCCGCACACAGUAUGUCCUUAAUAAAUCCCAGCUGGAGGGAGCCCCACCUCAGGCUUUUCAGAAACACA
Homo sapiens (human) is the source of this 440-nucleotide long non-coding RNA. The record is from Ensembl. NCBI's taxonomy places the organism in Eukaryota, Metazoa, Chordata, Mammalia, Primates, Hominidae.